CUGUUUCUCCUCUGGGCCACUCCUCAAGCGGGGCAUCUGGUUAUGGGAAUCAAGGUUAUGGGUACGGUAAUUAUGGUGGAAGCAGUGGACCUUAUUCUGGUGGCUAUGGAGCUGCUGGUGGACGAGCUGGAAGUGGUGCUGGAGGAGAGAAUGAAUAUGGUGACACAAAUGGGAACUCAGGCUAUACAAAUGCAUCCUGGAGGUCUGAUUCUUCACAGACCUCAAGUGGUUACAGUGGUGGGUAUGGUGGUGCACAUUCCCGACAGGCGCA
This 271-nucleotide long non-coding RNA is filed under the name Citrus sinensis (sweet orange). RNAcentral describes it as "long non-coding RNA (CSIN_LNC002354)". The record is from RNAcentral. Lineage: Eukaryota; Viridiplantae; Streptophyta; Magnoliopsida; Sapindales; Rutaceae.